ACUGCCACUCCCAGUCCGGCAUGUGUAUAUAAAGGUCGCUUUAGCCGUGGCACAGCACACUCUGUGGUUGACCGCCAACGAAGCAUCAAGCCGCUGCAGCCAAUACCUUCGAACAAAACGAGAUGAGAGCGUCAACCAUUAUUUCAGUGCUAGCACUGGUCCUAACCACGCAGUGCUUUGCUAAUGAAAAAAGAAUUCUACAAAAAGAAAUAACAGGCCGAAGAGCGCUUCAAGCUAACCGCCACAAUGGCAGCCAUGGAGCAAUUCCUCAAGAAAGGAAUUGCCAAGGGUCUCUUCAAAUUCAGAGAGACGACAGACUGACUUAACGACAAAAGAAAUGCAACCACAACCUCCUAGUUUAGCUGAGUUUAGAUUGUUACCAGAGUGUGUACAGAUAGACAUACACGUAUAUGUAUAUGUAUGUAUAUAUAUAUAUAUAUAUAUAUAUAUAUAUAUAUAUAUAUAUAUAUAUAUAUAUAUAUGUAUACUGUCUACUCUAUCCAUGUGAUCUUAUUAUUAUAAUUAUUCUAUUAUUUCUUAUGAUAACAUAUAUUAUCUAAUUCUGACUAAGGGUUAAAAUGUCCUAUAAGCUAUAUUGGUAUAUUGAAACUGUUUAAUCGUUAAAUUCACUAUAUGCUAAAUGUAUUUCAUAUCUGUAUUUAUUUGUCUUCAUCCCCUAACCUCAAUGAGAUCUUGCCAAAUGAGUUAUGACCGUGCCCUGAGAAGAGGCAUCACAAGUCUUCUAACAUAACUGCUCACUUGAACCUAGUAUUCCAAAAAUCAUUGUUUAUUCAAGCUUCAGCAGCCAUUGUGAUAUAAAAGAAAAUAAUCAAUUUGAAAUCAUUGAAAGAAUUUGAAAUAAGAAGUCCUGUAAGUAAUUAGAUGUCAGGAGAGAAUGAAAAAUGCUACACUCUAUUGAAGUAAAAGAUGAAUGGUA
RNAcentral lists this unclassified non-coding RNA (937 nucleotides) under Penaeus japonicus. RNAcentral describes it as "anti-lipopolysaccharide factor-like, transcript variant X5". The record is from RNAcentral. Lineage: Eukaryota; Metazoa; Arthropoda; Malacostraca; Decapoda; Penaeidae.